This 253-nucleotide ribosomal RNA is filed under the name uncultured bacterium. RNAcentral describes it as "partial 16S ribosomal RNA". It matches the Rfam family "Bacterial small subunit ribosomal RNA", at positions 524 to 776 of the family's 1533-position model. The record is from RNAcentral.
UACAGAGGUCUCAAGCGUUGUUCGGAUUCAUUGGGCGUAAAGGGUGCGUAGGCGGCGCGGUAAGUCGGGUGUGAAAUCUCGGAGCUUAACUCCGAAACUGCAUUCGAUACUGCCGUGCUUGAGGACUGGAGAGGAGACUGGAAUUUACGGUGUAGCGGUGAAAUGCGUAGAUAUCUGGAGGAACACCGGUGGCGAAGGCGGCAUCCUGGACCGGCAUUGACGCUGAGGAGCGAAAGCCAGGGGAGCAAACAGG